CUGCAAGGGAAGUCUAAACUGGAGUUGGGGGUGCUCUGGCAAGACCCUUCGAUGCUCAAGUCAGUACUCUGCUUCAACAGAAAUGGAGUGCUCGAGUGAGAAUUUUAGCAGAGUUUUGAGAUAGAGUUUUUGAGCUUAGAGAAGAACAUAUCUGGGGGUCCCCUUUUAUAGAUGGAGUGCGUAACUAAUUGAUAGCGAUAUUUGUAACCGUUUGGUAGUAGGUUGUUCAGAGCCAUCCGGAGUUUGUUAUGGAGAGU
Molecule: long non-coding RNA, 257 nt
Filed under: Elaeis guineensis (African oil palm)
Lineage: Eukaryota; Viridiplantae; Streptophyta; Magnoliopsida; Arecales; Arecaceae
Description: long non-coding RNA (EGUI_LNC061017)
Source: RNAcentral